RNAcentral lists this ribosomal RNA (506 nucleotides) under uncultured bacterium. Its description in RNAcentral is "partial 16S ribosomal RNA". It matches the Rfam family "Bacterial small subunit ribosomal RNA", at positions 29 to 523 of the family's 1533-position model. The record is from RNAcentral.
AUUGAACGCUGGCGGCAGGCCUAACACAUGCAAGUCGAACGGCAGCACAGAAGAGCUUGCUCUUUGGGUGGCGAGUGGCGGACGGGUGAGUAAUGUCUGGGAAACUGCCCGAUGGAGGGGGAUAACUACUGGAAACGGUAGCUAAUACCGCAUAACGUCGCAAGACCAAAGUGGGGGACCUUCGGGCCUCACACCAUCGGAUGUGCCCAGAUGGGAUUAGCUAGUAGGUGGGGUAAUGGCUCACCUAGGCGACGAUCCCUAGCUGGUCUGAGAGGAGGGCCAGCCACACUGGAACUGAGACACGGUCCAGACUCCUACGGGAGGCAGCAGUGGGGAAUAUUGCACAAUGGGCGCAAGCCUGAUGCAGCCAUGCCGCGUGUAUGAAGAAGGCCUUCGGGUUGUAAAGUACUUUCAGCGGGGAGGAAGGCGGUGAGGUUAAUAACCUUGCCGAUUGACGUUACCCGCAGAAGAAGCACCGGCUAACUCCGUGCCAGCAGCCGCGGUAA